GCGGCCUAUCAGCUUGUUGGUGAGGUAAUGGCUCACCAAGGCAACGACGGGUAGCCGGCCUGAGAGGGCGACCGGCCACACUGGGACUGAGACACGGCCCAGACUCCUACGGGAGGCAGCAGUGGGGAAUAUUGGGCAAUGGACGCAAGUCUGACCCAGCGACGCCGCGUGCGGGAUGAAGGCCUUCGGGUUGUAAACCGCUUUCAGCAGGGAAGAAGCGAAAGUGACGGUACCUGCAAAAGAAGCACCGGCUAACUAUGUGCCAGCAGCCGCGGUAAUACAUAGGGUGCAAGCGUUGUCCGGAAUUAUUGGGCGUAAAGGGUUCGUAGGUGGUUCGUUACGUCGGAUGUGAAAAUCUGGGGCUCAACCCCAGACCUGCAUUCGAUACGGGCGAGCUAGAGUUUGGUAGGGGAGACUGGAAUUCCU
This 426-nucleotide ribosomal RNA is filed under the name uncultured Actinomycetes bacterium. Its description in RNAcentral is "bacterial SSU rRNA". It matches the Rfam family "Bacterial small subunit ribosomal RNA", at positions 233 to 671 of the family's 1533-position model. The record is from RNAcentral. Lineage: Bacteria; Bacillati; Actinomycetota; Actinomycetes.